This 492-nucleotide ribosomal RNA is filed under the name uncultured bacterium. RNAcentral's name for it is "partial 16S ribosomal RNA". It matches the Rfam family "Bacterial small subunit ribosomal RNA", at positions 29 to 507 of the family's 1533-position model. The record is from RNAcentral.
AUUGAACGCUGGCGGCAUGCUUUACACAUGCAAGUCGAGCGGUAACAGGCCUUCGGGUGCUGACGAGUGGCGAACGGGUGCGUAAUGCAUCGGAACGUACCCAGAGGUGGGGGAUAACGCAGCGAAAGCUGUGCUAAUACCGCAUGUGAUCUGAGGAUGAAAGCGGGGGACCGAGCAGCAAUGUUUGGCCUCGCGCCUUUGGAGCGGCCGAUGUCGGAUUAGCUAGUUGGUGGGGUAAAGGCCUACCAAGGCGACGAUCCGUAGCUGGUCUGAGAGGACGACCAGCCACACUGGGACUGAGACACGGCCCAGACUCCUACGGGAGGCAGCAGUGGGGAAUUUUGGACAAUGGGCGCAAGCCUGAUCCAGCAAUGCCGCGUGCGGGAAGAAGGCCUUCGGGUUGUAAACCGCUUUUGGCAGGAACGAAACGGUGUCCGCUAAUACCGGGCGCUAAUGACGGUACCUGCAGAAUAAGCACCGGCUAACUACGUG